GGAGGUUGUUGUGUUAGUAUUUCCAUGGGUAGUGUUAUGAGCCUGGUGAUAGUUUGACAAGGCUUUGGUGGAGGUUGUUGUGUUAGUAUUUCCAUGGGUAGUGUUAUGAGCCUGGUGAUAGUUUGACAAGGCUUUGGUGGAGGUUGUUGUGUUAGUAUUUCCAUGGGUAGUGUUAUGAGCCUGGUGAUAGUUUGACAAGGCUUUGGUGGAGGUUGUUGUGUUAGUAUUUCCAUGGGUAGUGUUAUGAGCCUGGUGAUAGUUUGACAAGGCUUUGGUGGAGGUUGUUGUGUUAGUAUUUCCAUGGGUAGUGUUAUGAGCCUGGUGAUAGUUUGACAAGGCUUUGGUGGAGGUUGUUGUGUUAGUAUUUCCAUGGGUAGUGUUAUGAGCCUGGUGAUAGUUUAACAAGGCUUUGGUGGAGGUUGUUGUGUUAGUAUUUCCAUGGGUAGUGUUAUGAGCCUGGUGAUAGUUUGACAAGGCUUUGGUGGAGGUUGUUGUGUUAGUUUUUCCAUGGGUAGUGUUAUGAGCCUGGUGAUAGUUUGACAAGGCUUUGGUGGAGGUUGUUGUGUUAGUAUUUCCAUGGGUAGUGUUAUGAGCCUGGUGAUAGUUUGACAAGGCUUUGGUGGAGGUUGUUGUGUUAGUAUUUCCAUGGGUAGUAUUAUGAACCUAGUGAUAGUUUGACAAGGCUUUGGUAGAGGUAGUAUUGCCAUAGGCAGUGUUAUGAGCCUAGUGAUGAUUUGACAAGGCUUCGGUAGAGGUAGUAUUGCCAUGGGUAGUGUUCUGAGCCUGGUGAUAGUUUGACAAGGCUUCUGCAUCGUGAACAUGAAACCCACUCAUGAGAACC
Eriocheir sinensis (Chinese mitten crab) is the source of this 841-nucleotide long non-coding RNA. RefSeq lists it as uncharacterized. NCBI's taxonomy places the organism in Eukaryota, Metazoa, Arthropoda, Malacostraca, Decapoda, Varunidae. The record is from RefSeq and is a predicted model, not a curated record. The transcript has 4 exons.